Molecule: ribosomal RNA, 402 nt
Filed under: uncultured bacterium
Lineage: Bacteria
Description: partial 16S ribosomal RNA
Rfam family: Bacterial small subunit ribosomal RNA
Source: RNAcentral
CCUACGGGAGACAGCAGUGGGGAAUAUUGGGCAAUGGACGCAAGUCUGACCCAGCAACGCCGCGUGAAGGAAGAAGGCUUGCGGGUUGUAAACUUCUGUUAAGGGGGAAGAGCAGAAGACGGGACCACUGGAAUAAGCCACGGCUAACUAAGGGCCAGCAGCAGCGGGAAUACGGAGGUGGCAAGCGUUGUACGGAUUUAAUGGGUGUCACGGGCGUGCAGCCGGAGAGACAAGUCAGAUGUGACAUCCGCAGGCUCAACCGCGGAACUGCUUUGGCAACUGUCUCGCUUGAGUACUGGAGAGGCCGGCGAAAUUCCUAGUGUAGCGGUGAAAUGCGUAGAUAUUAGGAGGAACACCAGUGGCGAAGGCGGCCUGCUGGACUGCACCUGCCGUUGAGGCUCG